This 240-nucleotide unclassified non-coding RNA is filed under the name soil metagenome. RNAcentral's name for it is "partial contains 5.8S ribosomal RNA, internal transcribed spacer 2, and large subunit ribosomal RNA". The record is from RNAcentral.
AACUGAUACUACCUGCGGGAACCUGCGGAGGGAUCAUCAAUGAAUUACCUGGAUGGGUUGUUGCUGGCCUCUAGAGGCAUGUGCACACCUGUCUUGACUCCAUUCAUCCACCUGUGCACUUACUGUAGUCUGGAAAAGUUUCUGAGAGUUAGAUGAAGCAGAUACUCAGUCAGAUUGACUGGAUUUGAAGAUUGCUGUCUAGCUUUCUUUUUCUUAUUAAAGUCUGUGGAUUCGCUACAA